This 2063-nucleotide ribosomal RNA is filed under the name Glyphus marsupialis. RNAcentral describes it as "eukaryotic LSU rRNA". It matches the Rfam family "Eukaryotic large subunit ribosomal RNA", at positions 92 to 1682 of the family's 3401-position model. The record is from RNAcentral. Lineage: Eukaryota; Metazoa; Arthropoda; Malacostraca; Decapoda; Pasiphaeidae.
ACUGAAAUGGGAAGAGCCCAGCGCAUAACCUCGCGGUCCAUUGCCGGCCGUCGAGGGGUGUUGCGUUUCGGUGGAUCCGUCCCGCUCGUUCCGUAACCACCUAAGUCAUUGCUUGAAAGCAGUCCCAUGGAGGGUGAUAGGCCCGUGUGGUGGCGCCUGUAAAAAGGGCAAAAAACGGUUCGGGCGGAGGGAUCUUCACCGUAGAGUCGGGUUGCUUAGUAUUGCAGCCCUAAGCAGGUGGUAAACUCCAUCUAAGGCUAAAUAUGACCACGAGUCCGAUAGAAGACAAGUACCGUGAGGGAAAGUUGAAAAGGACUUUGAAGAGAGAGUUCAAAAGGACGUGAAACCGUUAGUAGCAUAAACGGGUGGAACCGCGAAGGUCGAACGAGGGGAUUCAGCUCGUCGGCGCACGGUGGUCGAUACCGAGGUAUGUUAGCUUUUGCGCAUAGUAAUGACCCAGGAAGAAUAAUGUUAACAAUACAUUACCUGUGGGCACCUCGGGGCUUCCGUGCUGUCGGCGGGUGUAAUUCUCCCUCUAGUAGGUCGCCGCGACCCGUUGUGGGGACCCCCAUGGCUGUGCUGGAUUGGUAGCCAAGGGCCUAGGCCCUGGGUGAUGACCGGCUACAGUUCUGACAGGGCCCCUGCGACGGUCACUGCCAGGAGACCCUCUUCUAACGGAGGGGGCCUCUCGCGGCGUGGAAACGGGAUCGGUAAUCCACCUGACCCGUCUUGAAACACGGACCAAGGAGUCUAACAUGUGCGCGAGUCUAAGGGUUAACUAAACCUGGAGGCGAAAUGAAAGUGAGCAAUUACAGCUGGCCGAUCCCUGGCCGCUCGUCUCGGCGGUACCGCGGCCAGCGUGAUUUAGUUCGCGCUGGUGUCUUGCGGUGCUCCCCGGACCGCGGUGGCUUUAUUUUAAAUAAAUAAAGAUGCUCUCGUAGCCAGGGCGCAGGCCGAGGACUUGUUUGAUGCGGCCCAAAGGGGGAGUUUGGGUGCCCUCACGGGUGCUCUUAUUAACCCUUAGGUGUCCGCUGGCAAGUACCUAAGAGCGCACACGUUGGGACCCGAAAGAUGGUGAACUAUGCUUGGCGAGGAUGAAGCCAGAGGAAACUCUGGUGGAGGUUCGAAGCAGUUCUGACGUGCAAAUCGAUUGUCAGAGCUGAGUAUAGGGGCGAAAGACUAAUCGAACCAUCUAGUAGCUGGUUCCCUCCGAAGUUUCCCUCAGGAUAGCUGGCGCUUGGGAUGAGUUUCAUCCGAUAAAGCGAAUGAUUAGAGGCCUUGGGGGUGCAAUGCCCUCAACCUAUUCUCAAACUUUAAAUGGGUGAGAUGUGGAGCAUACUUAAGUGAUUAACUAUGAUAUGAAGCUCUAUGAUAAAAAUAAAAGAAUCAGAGUGCCUAGUGGGCCACUUUUGGUAAGCAGAACUGGCGCUGUGGGAUGAACCAAACGUACGAGUUAAGGGGCCUAAAUGAAUGCUAAUGUAGACACUACGAAAAGGUGUUGGUUGCUAUAGACAGCAGGGCGGUGGUCAUGGAAGUUGGAACCCGCUAAGGAGUGUGUAACAACUCACCUGCCGAAGCAACUAGCCCUUAAAAUGGUAUGGCGCUCAAGCAUUCUCCCGAUACUCGGCCGCCGGGGCACUAUGGCUUUUUCCUAAAAAAAAUCCUCCAAGCCCCGGCGAGUAGGAGGGUCGCAGUGGUGGGCGUAGAAGGGACCCGGCGCGAGCCGGCCUGGAGCCGCCACUGGUGCAGAUCUUGGUGGUAGUAGCAAAUAAUCAAGAGAGAACCUCGUUGACUGAUGUGGAGAAGGGUUCCAUGUCAACAUCAGUUGAACAUGGGUGAGUCAGACCUGAGCCCAAGGAUAAACAUCCUGUGUCCCAAGUACUUCCAAAUAAUUAUUGACCAGUCGGUCUGAGACAUUCCUGUUGAGCUAAAAAGAAAGCCUGCAAAUUGUUGUAUAACAUCUUACUUAGUCUCCUACCUAAGUGUAUGAUAUCCCAAUGUAUCAUGAGCCAGCAACAAGCUGGCAGGCUUUAAAAAAGGAACUUAUGGCAAUGAGGGAUGCA